RNAcentral lists this ribosomal RNA (385 nucleotides) under uncultured bacterium. RNAcentral's name for it is "bacterial SSU rRNA". It matches the Rfam family "Bacterial small subunit ribosomal RNA", at positions 29 to 417 of the family's 1533-position model. The record is from RNAcentral.
AUUGAACGCUGGCGGCGUGCCUAACACAUGCAAGUCGAGCGGCAGCGCGGGAGCAAUCCUGGCGGCGAGCGGCGGACGGGUGAGUAAUGCUUGGGAAUCUGCCUGUUAGUGGGGGACAACCCGGGGAAACUCGGGCUAAUACCGCAUACGCACUACGGUGGAAAGGCCGGGGACGCAAGGCCUGGCGCUAACAGAUGAGCCCAAGUCGGAUUAGCUAGUUGGUAGGUAACGGCCACCAAGGCGACGAUCCGUAACUGGUCUGAGAGGACGACCAGUCACACGGAACUGAGACACGGUCCGGACUCCUACGGGAGGCAGCAGGUGGGGAAUAUUGGACAAGUGGGGAAACCCUGAUCCAGCGACGCCGCGUGGGUGAAGAAGGCCU